Molecule: unclassified non-coding RNA, 313 nt
Filed under: Hevea brasiliensis (rubber tree)
Lineage: Eukaryota; Viridiplantae; Streptophyta; Magnoliopsida; Malpighiales; Euphorbiaceae
Source: RNAcentral
GCACCACCGAGUCCAUCGCACUCGAUUCGUCCGCCGCAGUCUCCGGUGGCGCAGUAAAAUUUUCCGUGCUGGUAAUUGCAGCCGGUACGAGCCCAGAUUCGGCCGGACCAGUGAGCGUUGGGAGCGGGGAAAGAGCGGUGGGUAAGUGAGUGAAGGGUAAAUCCACCUCGUUCGAGAACAGGGUGACCGGCAUUGGGUUGAAUUGCGGGCCAGAUGGUGUAAGGACAGUUGUUAACUAGGGUUAAAAUGAAAUUAGGGUUAGUGGAUUGGGAGAGAGAUAAAAGGGUGAAGAGGAGAGAGAGGGGAAGUAGAA